Molecule: ribosomal RNA, 350 nt
Filed under: Phyllobates bicolor
Lineage: Eukaryota; Metazoa; Chordata; Amphibia; Anura; Dendrobatidae
Description: partial 12S ribosomal RNA
Rfam family: Bacterial small subunit ribosomal RNA (bases 37-350)
Source: RNAcentral
UCAGUCGUAAGCUUUAACUUCACUUCCUUCUCGCCAGGGAACUACGAGCUAAGCUUAAAACCCAAAGGACUUGACGGUACCCCAUAUCCCCCUAGAGGAGCCUGUCCUAUAAUCGAUAACCCCCGUUUAACCUCACCAUUUUUAGUUAUUCAGCCUGUAUACCUCCGUCGUCAGCUUACCACGUGAGCGUUAGUGAGCCAAAUGUUUUUUCAACCACACGUCAGGUCAAGGUGCAACAAAUGAAAUGGGAAGAGAUGGGCUACAUUUUCUAUAUUAGACUACACGAAAGACUUUAUGAAACCUAGUCAGAAGGCGGAUUUAGAAGUUAUAAUGGAACUAGAGAUCCACGG